This 468-nucleotide ribosomal RNA is filed under the name uncultured bacterium. RNAcentral's name for it is "partial 16S ribosomal RNA". It matches the Rfam family "Bacterial small subunit ribosomal RNA", at positions 28 to 507 of the family's 1533-position model. The record is from RNAcentral.
GACGAACGCUGGCGGCGUGCUUAACACAUGCAAGUCGAACGGAAAGGCCCUGCUUUUGUGGGGUGCUCGAGUGGCGAACGGGUGAGUAACACGUGAGUAACCUGACCUAGACUUUGGGAUAACUUCAGGAAACUGGGGCUAAUACCGGAUAGGAGCUCCUGCUGCAUGGUGGGGGUUGGAAAGUUUCGGCGGUUGGGGAUGGACUCGCGGCUUAUCAGCUUGUUGGUGGGGUAGUGGAUUACCAAGGCUUUGACGGGUAGCCGGCCUGGGAGGGUGACCGGCCUCAUUGGGCCUGAGGUACGGCCCAGACUCCUACGGGAGGCAGCAGUGGGGAAUAUUGCACAAUGGGCGGAAGCCUGUUGCAGCAACGCCGCGUUCGGGAUGACGGCCUUCGGGUUGUAAACCGCUUUCGCCUGUGACGAAGCGUGAGUGACGGUAAUGGGUAAAGAAGCACCGGCUAACUACGUG